RNAcentral lists this unclassified non-coding RNA (205 nucleotides) under Hevea brasiliensis (rubber tree). The record is from RNAcentral. Lineage: Eukaryota; Viridiplantae; Streptophyta; Magnoliopsida; Malpighiales; Euphorbiaceae.
GUUAUCUGGUCCAAGAUGACUCUUUUCUCGUUUCUGGAAAUUUUUUUUACUUACAUAGGAUGUUAAAUUAUUUUAUACUCCCAAUCAAACAGAAUUCAAAAAAUAAUGUUUAUAAUGAGACUUACUAAGUUUUGUAAUAGGGCCUAUUAUCAUUUUAAUGAUGUGUACAUUACUCAUCGGAUUGGUGUAUGCAUCAAAAACUUAU